AAUAGAUACCCAGGUAGUCCACGCCGUAAACGAUGGAUGCUAGCUGUUAUGCGUAUCGACCCGUGUAGUAGCGAAGCUAACGCGUUAAGCAUCCCGCCUGGGGAGUACGAACGCAAGUUUAAAACUCAAAGGAAUUGACGGGGACCCGCACAAGCGGUGGAGCGUGUUCUUUAAUUCGAGGCUAAGCGAAGAACCUUACCAGGGCUUGACAUCCUUGGAAUUUCUCCGAAAGGAGAGAGUACUUUAUUGGACCAAGUGACAGGUGCUGCAUGGCCGUCGUCAGCUCGUGUCGUGAGAUGUUUGGUUAAGUCCAUUAACGAGCGCAACCCCUAUGAAUAGUUGUAUUUUUCUAUUCAGACUGCCCCGGUAACGGGGAGGAAGGGGGGAUGAUGUCAGGUCAGUAUUGCCCUUACGCCCUGGGCUAGAAACGCGCUACAAUGGCCGGUACAAUGCGCUGCCAACCCGCGAGGGGGAGCAAAUCGCAUCAAAGCCGGUCCCAGUUCGGAUAAGAGGCUGAAACUCGCCUCUUUGAAGCCGGAAUCGCUAGUAAUCGU
RNAcentral lists this ribosomal RNA (554 nucleotides) under uncultured bacterium. Its description in RNAcentral is "bacterial SSU rRNA". It matches the Rfam family "Bacterial small subunit ribosomal RNA", at positions 777 to 1345 of the family's 1533-position model. The record is from RNAcentral.